This 623-nucleotide ribosomal RNA is filed under the name Flavobacterium sp. Man06. RNAcentral's name for it is "bacterial SSU rRNA". It matches the Rfam family "Bacterial small subunit ribosomal RNA", at positions 60 to 684 of the family's 1533-position model. The record is from RNAcentral. Lineage: Bacteria; Pseudomonadati; Bacteroidota; Flavobacteriia; Flavobacteriales; Flavobacteriaceae.
AGUCGAGGGGUAUAGCACUUCGGUGCUAGAGACCGGCGCACGGGUGCGUAACGCGUAUGCAAUCUACCUUUUACAGGGGGAUAGCCCAGAGAAAUUUGGAUUAAUACCCCAUGGUAUAGUGAGUUGGCAUCAACCCACUAUUAAAGUCACAACGGUAAAAGAUGAGCAUGCGUCCCAUUAGCUAGAUGGUAAGGUAACGGCUUACCAUGGCUACGAUGGGUAGGGGUCCUGAGAGGGAGAUCCCCCACACUGGUACUGAGACACGGACCAGACUCCUACGGGAGGCAGCAGUGAGGAAUAUUGGACAAUGGGCGCAAGCCUGAUCCAGCCAUGCCGCGUGCAGGAUGACGGUCCUAUGGAUUGUAAACUGCUUUUAUACGAGAAGAAACACUGAUUCGUGAAUCAGCUUGACGGUAUCGUAAGAAUAAGGAUCGGCUAACUCCGUGCCAGCAGCCGCGGUAAUACGGAGGAUCCAAGCGUUAUCCGGAAUCAUUGGGUUUAAAGGGUCCGUAGGCGGUCUAGUAAGUCAGUGGUGAAAGCCCAUCGCUCAACGGUGGAACGGCCAUUGAUACUGCUGGACUUGAAUUAUUAGGAAGUAACUAGAAUAUGUAGUGUAGCGGUGA